UUGGAAGCAUCCUUCUUCAACCGUGUGCUUCUCCUUAGCGGUGCUUCAGCCGGGACAUUAUCCCUUGAUGAGACUGAGACUGGUUCAGUUUCUUCUUGCUGUUCUUCUUGCUGUUGCACAUUGUCUUCCUCUUCUUGGAAACUUUCUUCAGGUUCUGGUUCACCCAUUGCCUCAACCCCUUCAUCUUGCAUCAUCACACACUGAUCAGGGUCUCUCAAGCCUUCUUCUGGAUGGCUUGCUUCUUCAGUUUCAUUCCCCCUCUCAUGAU
RNAcentral lists this long non-coding RNA (268 nucleotides) under Brassica napus (rape). Its description in RNAcentral is "long non-coding RNA (BNAP_LNC008733)". Lineage: Eukaryota; Viridiplantae; Streptophyta; Magnoliopsida; Brassicales; Brassicaceae. The record is from RNAcentral.